RNAcentral lists this ribosomal RNA (497 nucleotides) under uncultured bacterium. RNAcentral describes it as "partial 16S ribosomal RNA". It matches the Rfam family "Bacterial small subunit ribosomal RNA", at positions 28 to 507 of the family's 1533-position model. The record is from RNAcentral.
GAUGAACGCUGGCGGCGUGCCUAAUACAUGCAAGUCGAGCGAACAGACAAGGAGCUUGCUCCUCUGCCGUUAGCGGCGGACGGGCGAGUAACACGUGGAUAAGCUACCUAUAAGACUGGGAGAACUUCGGGAAAACGGAGAUAAUACCGGCUCAUAUAUGGAACCGCAGGGUUCAAUAGUGAAAGGGGCUGUUGCUGUGACUUCGAGGUGGGUCCGCGCCGCAUUUGCGGCUGGGUAAGGUAACGGCUUACCCAGGGGGCGAUGCGUAGCCGACCGGAGAGGGUGAUCCGCCCCCCUGGAACUGAGACACCGUCCCGACUCCUCCGGGACGCAGCAGGAGGGAAUCUUCCGCAAUGGGCGGAAACCUGGCGCAGCAACCCCGCGUGAGGGAUGAAGGUCUUCGGAUCGUAAAACUCUGUUUUUAGGGAAAAACAAAUGUGUAAGUAACUACGCACUUCUUGACGGUACCUAAUCAGAAAGCCACGGCUAACUACGUG